RNAcentral lists this ribosomal RNA (1503 nucleotides) under uncultured bacterium. Its description in RNAcentral is "bacterial SSU rRNA". It matches the Rfam family "Bacterial small subunit ribosomal RNA". The record is from RNAcentral.
GAUGAACGCUGGCGGCGUGCCUAAUACAUGCAAGUCGAGCGAACAGACGAGGAGCUUGCUCCUUUGACGUUAGCGGCGGACGGGUGAGUAACACGUGGGUAACCUACCUAUAAGACUGGGAUAACUUCGGGAAACCGGAGCUAAUACCGGAUAAUAUUUCGAACCGCAUGGUUCGAUAGUGAAAGAUGGCUUUGCUAUCACUUAUAGAUGGACCUGCGCCGUAUUAGCUAGUUGGUAAGGUAACGGCUUACCAAGGCAACGAUACGUAGCCGACCUGAGAGGGUGAUCGGCCACACUGGAACUGAGACACGGUCCAGACUCCUACGGGAGGCAGCAGUAGGGAAUCUUCCGCAAUGGGCGAAAGCCUGACGGAGCAACGCCGCGUGAGUGAUGAAGGUCUUCGGAUCGUAAAACUCUGUUAUUAGGGAAGAACAAACGUGUAAGUAACUGUGCACGUCUUGACGGUACCUAAUCAGAAAGCCACGGCUAACUACGUGCCAGCAGCCGCGGUAAUACGUAGGUGGCAAGCGUUAUCCGGAAUUAUUGGGCGUAAAGCGCGCGUAGGCGGUUUUUUAAGUCUGAUGUGAAAGCCCACGGCUCAACCGUGGAGGGUCAUUGGAAACUGGAAAACUUGAGUGCAGAAGAGGAAAGUGGAAUUCCAUGUGUAGCGGUGAAAUGCGCAGAGAUAUGGAGGAACACCAGUGGCGAAGGCGACUUUCUGGUCUGUAACUGACGCUGAUGUGCGAAAGCGUGGGAAUCAAACAGGAUUAGAUACCCUGGUAGUCCACGCCGUAAACGAUGAGUGCUAAGUGUUAGGGGGUUUCCGCCCCUUAGUGCUGCAGCUAACGCAUUAAGCACUCCGCCUGGGGAGUACGACCGCAAGGUUGAAACUCAAAGGAAUUGACGGGGACCCGUACAAGCGGUGGAGCAUGUGGUUUAAUUCGAAGCAACGCGAAGAACCUUACCAAAUCUUGACAUCCUUUGACCCUUCUAGAGAUAGAAGUUUCCCCUUCGGGGGACAAAGUGACAGGUGGUGCAUGGUUGUCGUCAGCUCGUGUCGUGAGAUGUUGGGUUAAGUCCCGCAACGAGCGCAACCCUUAAGCUUAGUUGCCAUCAUUAAGUUGGGCACUCUAAGUUGACUGCCGGUGACAAACCGGAGGAAGGUGGGGAUGACGUCAAAUCAUCAUGCCCCUUAUGAUUUGGGCUACACACGUGCUACAAUGGACAAUACAAAGGGCAGCGAAACCGCGAGGUCAAGCAAAUCCCAUAAAGUUGUUCUCAGUUCGGAUUGUAGUCUGCAACUCGACUACAUGAAGCUGGAAUCGCUAGUAAUCGUAGAUCAGCAUGCUACGGUGAAUACGUUCCCGGGUCUUGUACACACCGCCCGUCACACCACGAGAGUUUGUAACACCCGAAGCCGGUGGAGUAACCAUUUGGAGCUAGCCGUCGAAGGUGGGACAAAUGAUUGGGGUGAAGUCGUGACAAGGUAGCCGUAUCGGAAGG